GAUGAAGAACGUAGCGAAAUGCGAUAAGUAAUGUGAAUUGCAGAAUUCAGUGAAUCAUCGAAUCUUUGAACGCACAUUGCGCCCUCUGGUAUUCCGGGGGGCAUGCCUGUUCGAGCGUCAUUAUAACCACUCAAGCUCUCGCUUGGUAUUGGGGUUCGCGGUUUCGCGGCCCCUAAAAUCAGUGGCGGUGCCUGUCGGCUCUACGCGUAGUAAUACUUCUCGCGAUUGAGUUCGAUAGGUCUACUUGCCAGUAACCCCCAAUUUUUACAGGUUGACCUCGGAUCAGGUAGGGAUACCCGCUGAACUUAAGCAUAUCAAUGAGCGGAGGA
RNAcentral lists this unclassified non-coding RNA (329 nucleotides) under soil metagenome. RNAcentral describes it as "partial contains 5.8S ribosomal RNA, internal transcribed spacer 2, and large subunit ribosomal RNA". The stretch from base 1 to 120 matches the Rfam family "5.8S ribosomal RNA", at positions 35 to 154 of the family's 154-position model. The record is from RNAcentral.